This 76-nucleotide transfer RNA is filed under the name Pseudomonadota bacterium. Its description in RNAcentral is "tRNA-Thr". It matches the Rfam family "tRNA". Rfam says of the family: Transfer RNA (tRNA) molecules are approximately 80 nucleotides in length. Their secondary structure includes four short double-helical elements and three loops (D, anti-codon, and T loops). Lineage: Bacteria; Pseudomonadati; Pseudomonadota. The record is from RNAcentral. RNAcentral also lists the same sequence under 2 other names.
GCCGCUGUAGCUCAGUUGGUAGAGCAGCGCAUUCGUAAUGCGAAGGUCGGAGGUUCGACUCCUCUCAGCGGCACCA